GACGAACGCUGGCGGCGUGCUUAACACAUGCAAGUCGAACGAGGUCCACCGCGUAGCAAUACAAGGGAAGACCUAGUGGCGAACGGGUGCGUAACACGUGAGGAACUUGUCCCGGUCUCUGGGAUAACAGUUGGAAACGACUGCUAAUACCGGAUGACGUCGGAAUCUCGCAUGGGAUACUGACGAAAGGGUUACUGGAUCGGGAGAGCCUCGCGGCCUAUCAGCUUGUUGGUGAGGUAACGGCUCACCAAGGCAUCGACGGGUAGCUGGUCUGAGAGGAUGAUCAGCCACACUGGGACUGAGACACGGCCCAGACUCCUACGGGAGGCAGCAGUGGGGAAUCUUGCGCAAUGGGCGAAAGCCUGACGCAGCAACGCCGCGUGCGGGAAGAAGGCCUCGGGUGUAACCGCUUUCAGAAGGAACGAAAUGACGGUACUUCAGAAGAAGGUGCGGCCAACUACGUCGCCAGCAGCCGACGGUAAAACGUCACGUCG
RNAcentral lists this ribosomal RNA (494 nucleotides) under uncultured bacterium. RNAcentral's name for it is "bacterial SSU rRNA". It matches the Rfam family "Bacterial small subunit ribosomal RNA", at positions 28 to 536 of the family's 1533-position model. The record is from RNAcentral.